UGGGGAAUAUUGGACAAUGGGCGAAAGCCUGAUCCAGCCAUGCCGCGUGUGUGAAGAAGGCCUUUUGGUUGUAAAGCACUUUAAGCGAGGAGGAGGCUACUUGGAUUAAUACUCUAGGAUAGUGGACGUUACUCGCAGAAUAAGCACCGGCUAACUCUGUGCCAGCAGCCGCGGUAAUACAGAGGGUACGAGCGUUAAUCGGAUUUACUGGGCGUAAAGCGUGCGUAGGCGGCUUUUUAAGUCGGAUGUGAAAUCCCUGAGCUUAACUUAGGAAUUGCAUUCGAUACUGGGAAGCUAGAGUAUGGGAGAGGAUGGUAGAAUUCCAGGUGUAGCGGUGAAAUGCGUAGAGAUCUGGAGGAAUACCGAUGGCGAAGGCAGCCAUCUGGCCUAAUACUGACGCUGAGGUACGAAAGCAUGGGGAGCAAACAGG
Molecule: ribosomal RNA, 430 nt
Filed under: bacterium
Lineage: Bacteria
Description: partial 16S ribosomal RNA
Rfam family: Bacterial small subunit ribosomal RNA
Source: RNAcentral